GACGAACGCUGGCGGCGUGCUUAACACAUGCAAGUCGAACGGAGAGGCCCUGCUUUUGUGGGGUGCUCGAGUGGCGAACGGGUGAGUAACACGUGAGUAACCUGCCCUUGACUUUGGGAUAACUUCAGGAAACUGGGGCUAAUACCGGAUAGGAGCUCCUGCUGCAUGGUGGGGGUUGGAAAGUUUCGGCGGUUGGGGAUGGACUCGCGGCUUAUCAGCUUGUUGGUGGGGUAGUGGCUGACCAAGGCUUUGACGGGUAGCCGGCCUGAGAGGGUGACCGGCCACAUUGGGACUGAGAUACGGCCCAGACUCCUACGGGAGGCAGCAGUGGGGAAUAUUGCACAAUGGGCGGAGGCCUGAUGCAGCAACGCCGCGUGCGGGAUGACGGCCUUCGGGUUGUAAACCGCUUUCGCCUGUGACGAAGCGUGAGUGACGGUAAUGGGUAAAGAAGCACCGGCUAACUACGUG
This 468-nucleotide ribosomal RNA is filed under the name uncultured bacterium. RNAcentral describes it as "partial 16S ribosomal RNA". It matches the Rfam family "Bacterial small subunit ribosomal RNA", at positions 28 to 507 of the family's 1533-position model. The record is from RNAcentral.